Molecule: ribosomal RNA, 202 nt
Filed under: Listeria monocytogenes
Lineage: Bacteria; Bacillati; Bacillota; Bacilli; Caryophanales; Listeriaceae
Description: partial 23S ribosomal RNA
Rfam family: Bacterial large subunit ribosomal RNA
Source: RNAcentral
AGAGCCCAAACCAAGAAGCUUGCUUCUUGGGGUUGUAGGACACUCUAUACGGAGUUACAAAAGAAAGUUAUAAAUGAAGCGGUCUGGAAAGGCCCGCCAAAGACGGUAACAGCCCGGUAGUUGAAAUGGCUUUCCCUCCAGAGUGGAUCCUGAGUACGGCGGAACACGUGAAAUUCCGUCGGAAUCCGGGAGGACCAUCUCC